RNAcentral lists this ribosomal RNA (246 nucleotides) under uncultured bacterium. RNAcentral describes it as "partial 16S ribosomal RNA". It matches the Rfam family "Bacterial small subunit ribosomal RNA", at positions 523 to 769 of the family's 1533-position model. The record is from RNAcentral.
AUACGUAGGGGGCAAGCGUUAUCCGGAAUUAUUGGGCGUAAAGGGUACGUAGGCGGUUACUUAAGCGUGGGGUGAAAGGCUAUGGCUUAACCAUAGUAAGCCUUGCGAACUGGGUAACUUGAGUGCAGGAGAGGAAAGCGGAAUUCCUAGUGUAGCGGUGAAAUGCGUAGAUAUUAGGAGGAACACCAGUGGCGAAGGCGGCUUUCUGGACUGUAACUGACGCUGAGGUACGAAAGCGUGGGUAGC